UGCUAGUCGUACGAAUUUAGAUUCGUGGCGAAUAGCUCAGUAACACGUGGUCAAACUACCCUGUCGAGCACGAUACCCUCGGGAAACUGAGGCUAAUAGUGCAUACGGCUCGAUGCCUGGAACUGGCUCGAGCUCGAAACGCUCCGGCGCGACAGGAUGUGGCUGCGGCCGAUUAGGUAGACGGUGGGGUAACGGCCCACCGUGCCGAUAAUCGGUACGGGUUGUGAGAGCAAGAGCCCGGAGACGGAAUCUGAGACAAGAUUCCGGGCCCUACGGGGCGCAGCAGGCGCGAAACCUUUACACUGCACGACAGUGCGAUAAGGGGACUCCAAGUGCGAGGGCAUACAGUCCUCGCUUUUCACCACCGUAGGAUGGUGGUAGAAUAAGGGCUGGGCAAGACCGGUGCCAGCCGCCGCGGUAAUACCGGCAGCCAAGUGAUGACCGCUAUUAUUGGGCCUAAAGCGUCCGUAGCUGGCCACGCAAGUCCGUCGGGAAAUCUCCCCGCCUAACGGGGAGGCGUCCGGUGGAAACUGUGUGGCUAGGGACCGGAAGAUCCAGAGGGUACGUCUGGGGUAGGAGUGAAAUCCUGUAAUCCUAGACGGACCACCGGUGGCGAAAGCGCUCUGGAAGGACGGAUCCGACAGUGAGGGACGAAAGCUAGGGUCACGAACCGGAUUAGAUACCCGGGUAGUCCUAGCCGUAAACGAUGUCUGCUAGGUGUGGCACAGGCUACGAGCCUGUGCUGUGCCGUAGG
Molecule: ribosomal RNA, 754 nt
Filed under: uncultured archaeon
Lineage: Archaea
Description: bacterial SSU rRNA
Rfam family: Archaeal small subunit ribosomal RNA
Source: RNAcentral